This 763-nucleotide long non-coding RNA is filed under the name Monodelphis domestica (gray short-tailed opossum). RNAcentral's name for it is "lncRNA (ENSMODG00000038729.1)". The record is from RNAcentral. Lineage: Eukaryota; Metazoa; Chordata; Mammalia; Didelphimorphia; Didelphidae.
GAAAAACAAUAUUACUAAAUUUCUACCCUGAAAGUAUAAACUCUUCAAAGUUUUUAAAAAUCUUCUUUACUUUUAAAAAAAUGAACUUAUUUUUAAGUUCAUUUUAUUCCCUUUGCUAGGAUUGUAGACCUAGACAUGACCUGCCAUUUACUUCUUGUGCUGUGAUUUGCAAACUUGGCAUAUAUUCAUUUAAAUAUAACUCAACACCAGCUUCUUUUCAUAAAACUCUCUUUUUUAUAGAUUGUCUGUUAUCACAGCCACAAAGGCAGGACUGAACCAUGGGAGCAGAAGGGCACGCAACAACUGGGGAAGUUCCGUUUGUAAGACUAGAUUGUUGUCUCCAUGAUAUGAAUGACAAGAGCGUGUAUCUUGGAGACCUACCUCUGCAAUCUGUUGAAGUAUUUCAUUUGUAUUUGAUUGGACGUAAUUUAGCACCAUAGAUUGAAAUCAACUCCAAAUCAACCAAUUUUAAGGUUGCUUGUUGGAAGAGGGAAGAGAAGGAACUCUUCUCCAUGUCUACUACAAUUGAGCCAAGCUGUCUACGCUGAUGUAGUCUCUCCUCACCUGCAUCUCUCUGAACCCUAGUUUCUUCCAAGCAUCAUAUAUGGGACCUUCCUAAUCUCCUCUCCACUAGUGCCUCUCCCCACAUAGGAAAAAGUAGUACUGUGUAGCAGAAUGAAUUCUGGUAUUGAAAAAGAAGUGAAGGCAGUGAGGUUCUGGUUUUAUCUCUGUCAAUAAAUAGCUUUAUGACUUUCUUCCUUCA